This 530-nucleotide small RNA is filed under the name Pan troglodytes (chimpanzee). RNAcentral's name for it is "retained intron". Lineage: Eukaryota; Metazoa; Chordata; Mammalia; Primates; Hominidae. The record is from RNAcentral.
GUUUGUGUCUAAACGGAGGCUCGGCCACAACGCCACUGGAUUGGUGGUAGGGCGGGGCGGGCCACAGUCUCCAGCCUGAAGCGGAAGUGGAGAAAAGAUGGAGGACCAUCAGCACGUGCCCAUCGACAUCCAGACCAGCAAGCUGCUCGAUUGGCUGGUGGACAGAAGGCACUGCAGCCUGAAAUGGCAGAGUCUGGUGCUGACGAUCCGCGAGAAGAUCAAUGCUGCCAUCCAGGACAUGCCAGAGAGCGAAGAGAUCGCCCAGCUGCUGUCUGGGUCCUGUGAGUGCUUAGGGGCUGUCACUGGAGUCCCCUCUUUGCUGAGACAUUCACUACUUUCACUGCCUAAGAAUCCUGGACCUUCUCAAAGGCACAGAGGCCUCCACGAAGAAUAUUUUUGGCCGAUACUCUUCACAGCGGAUGAAGGCAAGUGUGGGCCAAGGGCUGGUAGUAUGUGGUUGGGGACAUCCAAUCCGAGGAGUCAUAGCCUCUGUGGUCUCUCUGAGGCUCCAGUGGGGAUGCCUACAUAGA